Molecule: long non-coding RNA, 391 nt
Organism: Anas platyrhynchos (mallard)
Lineage: Eukaryota; Metazoa; Chordata; Aves; Anseriformes; Anatidae
Source: RefSeq, a predicted model, not a curated record
GAGAGUCCUCAGAUUUUCUCCCAAACUAAAAACUUGCAUCCAAUAGAAUUUUGAUUCCUCAAUUAAACUAAUUGUCCACUGCCAUGUUUUGGCCCAACUUCUUUCGCUACUUUCAAGGCAGCUCCAGUAUGUUUUUAAUUUCACCAACCAGCAUGCAUUCCUUCACUUAAGCAGUAACUAGAUGUACUCGUUUUUGCUCAGAAUUUAGAUGUACUGUUACUGAACUACUGUCUUUCGUCUGCCUCCAUCUCCAUUGGUAUAACUCAGUUUUGUCCAGGUCUGCAUUUUGUUGUUGAUCAUGGGAAACUGGCACAUAGUUCUCAGGAAGCUCAUGCAAGUAUAAAACCUAUUGUACUGGUGGAGUGUUAAAUAAAAAUCACCUUUAAAUUGA